This is a long non-coding RNA of Capsicum annuum, 4507 nucleotides long. RefSeq lists it as uncharacterized. The transcript has 2 exons. NCBI's taxonomy places the organism in Eukaryota, Viridiplantae, Streptophyta, Magnoliopsida, Solanales, Solanaceae. The record is from RefSeq and is a predicted model, not a curated record.
GCUAGUAGGAAUGAUAUAAGGGAUCAAAUACUUUUGUAGAAAACGAUUAUUCAUUUUUUCAGGGAUAGAGGAAAGUUCUUUUUCUCUCCCUUUGGCUCGUAUUUCUCAGCUCAAAUCUUACUUGUUUCUUUCACUAAAUUGCGAGCGAAAUAUUCAUAUUUUCAUGAUAUCAGAGCCAGUAAUCCGUUCCUGCUCAUUUUUCCAAUUCUAGCAAUGGUUCCCUUGGCAUAUUUUGUGAUUUUUUUGGCCAUGAGCAAUUCAUCUCUUCAAUGUUUGGUCAUUUUGAGCCUUUUGGGGAGAUUUUCAGCUAGAUCUUGUGGAAUUUUGGGUUUUGUAGUCAAUUUUGGCUGAUCAAUUUUUUGUGCAAUUGCUUAUCAAUUUCUAGUUUUUUUCUCUGUAAUCGGUACGUUAUCUUCUACUUCAUCGAUUUUUCAUCAAUCUAAUUGGUACACAUUCUUUUGUACCUACAAAUAUGGUGAAUGUUGUUGAAUCUUCUGGUACCACGUUUACCCUGAACCAUCUAGCCCAUUGUAUCUUCAGUCCUUUGAUGUUCCCGGAGUUUUUUAGUUUCCGUUCCAUUCUCGGGGACAGGAUUUGGAGUUUGGAGACGUAAUAUGACAGUCUCCUUUUCUGCUCGAAACAAGAUAAAUUUCAUUGAUGGCAGUUGUGCCAAACCUGCUGAGGGAUCUCCUCAACUUAGGUAGUGGUAUAGAUGCAAUAAUAUGGUUAUUUCGUGGUUGACUAACUCCUUGACUCCAGAUAUAGCUAGGAAUGUCCAGUAUUCUGAGACUACUAAAAGUAUAUAGAAACAACUCAAUAAAAGAUAUGGAACCAUUAGUAGGACGAAGGUUUUUGAAAUCAAAAAGGAAUUGGCUUUUACUACCAAGGUAGUCUAGAUAUAGCAUCCUAUUUCAAUAAGUUGAAGAAGUUAUGGGAUGAGCUUAAGUUUGUAUGUGGUUCCAAGAUUUCUUGUUGUACCUGUGCUGCCAAAGUUGAUUUACAACGAGAAGAUGAUUAGAAUAGGUUACACCAAUAUCUAAUGGGUCUGAAUGAGCCUUGUAUUGGUGUUCGAGGGAAUUUAUUGAUGAUGGAUCCUCUUCCAUCUUUGAAUAGUGCUUACAAUAUCCUCCUCCAGGAUGAAAGACAGAGCCAAGUUUCCAACUCUUCCUUGUUUAAUACUGAAGAUGCUUCUUUCAAUAUGGUCACUAACACCUCUACACCCAUUCAUCAUCUUUCUAAGCAGUUUAUCCCUAAUCAUUCGACAGGAUCUUCAUCAGUUUAUUUACCUGCUAGAUAGUUCUCCCAGAGAAUCAAUUUUGAUCAGUCCAAGUCCAAUUUGGUUUUAUAGGUAUUGCAAGAAUCCUGAACAUCUUAUAGACAAAUGUUACAAACUUCAUGGCUUUCCAACUAAUUUCAAGUUCACCAAAGAAAAAAGAGUUGCUGCAAAUGUGAAAUUACCAAGAUAUAGUGGAGACAGUGAUGUUAUUCCUCCUGAGUCUUCUACAAGUUUCUCUUUUAUUCCUGGAUUGACAAAAGACCAGCACAAUCAGCUUAUGACAUUGCUGUAAAAAAUUAGAGUAUCAUAAUUACAUCCUUGGAGAUCUGCUAACUUUGCCGGUAUAAUGUCUAACUCUCUUAAUAAUAUGUCAUAUGGUACUUGCAUGCUAACUAAAACAAAUGAUUACAUUUGGAUAAUUGAUUCAGGGGCCACCGACUACAUGCCAUCUAAUUAAUCUCUUUUAUUUGACAUUAAACCCCUAGUUGUGCCAUACUUUGUCACCUUACCUAAUGGCUACAAAGUGAACGUCACGUGUAUUGGGUCUUUUAAUUUUCUAUCUUUCAUACUUCACUAAGUACUUUAUAUACCUAGCUUUCUCUAUAACCUUGUUUCUGUGUCUAAGCUUGUUUAUUAAUUAGAUUGCAUUUUCUUAUUUACUAAACUUUCUUGUUUAAUACAGGCCCCUUCACUGAAGAGGCCACUGGUUGUUUGUAAACUGGACGAUGGGCUUUACAAGCUUGAGAAAUCUACUCUCAUUUCUACAUCUACUCCCCUACUCUCUUUGUUUUAAUAGUUUUGUUUCUGAAAGUACUAUUUCUAGUUCCAUUUCUUCUGAUAUUCCUUGUACGAUAAAGUUUGAUGUGUAUAAGAUAGAGUCUGGUUGUCAUGAGUCUUCUAAAUCUUUUGUUUAACCUUCUCCCAUAUCCCAUUGUAAUUCAGUUUGUGAUAUAAAUAAAAUGGAAAUAUUGAGGCACAAUAGACUGGGACACAUUCCCUUUGUCAGGAUGAAGAACAUUUUUUAUAUUCCUUGAGCUUUUUUCUCAAAAUAACUUUUUACUUGCACUAUUUGUCCUUUUGCUAGACAAUCUAGGUUGCCUUUUCCAGAUAGUUAAAUCCAAACUUCUCGUCCCUUUCAACUUAUUCAUGUGGACACAUGGGGUCCAUACAAAAGUCCCACUUAUAAUAAUUAUAGGUAUUUCUUGACCAUUGUUGAUGACUACUCUUGAGAAACCUGGACUCAUCUUAUGGAUUCAAAGAGUAAUGCUUUUUGUUUAAUUAAAUCUUUUAUGGCUUUAGUUAAAAAUUAGUUUCAGUCUACUGUUCAAACUCUCCGAAGUGACAAUGCUUAUAAAAUUGGUUCUAGUCACUCUGCCUCUGAAUUUUUUCUUACCCAUGGAAUUACUCACCAAACUUCUUGCCCUCACACACCACAACAAAAUAAUGUGGUUGAGAGAAAACAUAGAUAUUUAUUGGAAACUGCAAGGUCUUUGUUAUUCCAAUCCAGGCUGCCUCUCAAGUUUUGGGGUGACUGUGUACUCACUGCCAUCUAUCUCAUCAAUAAAUUCCCCUCCAAAUUACUUCACAAUAAAUCUCCUUAUGAGAUACUUUAUAAUACCCCUCCUUCCUAUUCACACAUCAAUACUUUUGGUUGCCUCUGUUUUUCCUCUGUACCCAAGACUCACAGGGAUAAGUUUCAGCCUAGGGCUGCUCCUUGUGUUUUCUUGGGCUAUCCACUUGGGUGUAAAGGUUAGAAUCUGUACAACCUUACUACCAAAGUCACAUUUCUAUCUAGAGAUGUUACCGUCCUUGAAGAUAUUUUUCCUUUUGCAUCUCCCUCUCUUUCUCUUCCUUCUUUCAUUUUUCCAGUUUCAUCUUCUCCAAUUUACUAUGAUUCCCCUCUCCCUUUUGUUUCUCCUCCUACUUCUCCCCCUUCCUCUUCUAAUUCUUCAAGUCUUCCUUUACAUCCAACACCUCUUCUAAGAAAGUCUUCUCGACCUCAUGUUCCUCCAACUUACUUGCAGUAAUUUAUGUGUUCUUUACCUCCUUCUUUGCGUGAACCUGAAUCUGUUCCUUCUAGUUCUCAUUGUUUAGUUAGUAUGGUUGAAUCUGAACCUCAUUCUUAUCACUAGGCAGUGUCCAUUCCUACCUGGCAAGAUACCAUGAAAAAAUAAUUUAAAGCCUUGGAAGCUAAUAACACUUGGUCUAUAGUUCAAUUACCCCCCGGGGAAAAACCCCAUAGGUUGUAAAUGGGUUUAUAAAAUCAAAUAUAGAGCAGAUGGAUUUGUAGAAAGAUAUAAGGCCCGACUAGUAGUUAGAGGAUAUAGUUAAGUUGCAGGUGUAGACUUCAAUAAAACUUUUUCCACUAUCAUUAAAUUCGAAACUGUCAAGUGCCUCGUUGUUGUGGCUGUCAAAAAAUAGUGGCCAUUUUUUCAACUUGAUGUAAAUAAUGCAUUUUUGCAUGGGGACAUUGAUGAAGUAGUAUACAUGAAGCUGCUCCCUGGCUUUAUUACUUAUCCUUUUGUUUGGUCCUCCCCAUUGGUGUGCCUUCUUCAAAAGUUUCUACACGACUUGAAACAAGCCUCUCGACAAUGUGAUUGGGCUACCUGCCCCGACACUCGGCGUUCUGUCACUGGUUUUUGUGUUUUACUGGGGGGUUCUCUUAUUUGUUGGAAGGCGAAAAAACAACCAAUUAUCUCACUUUCAUUUGCUGAGGCAGAGUACCGUGCUAUUAGCAAACUGGUUGCUGAGUUGACAUGGCUUGUCCGACUUCUUGACGAUUUCCACUCGCCUGCUUUUACUCCAACUCCGGUUUUUUAUGAUAAUCAGGAUGCCAUCCAUAUUGCUUGAAACCCCAUUUUUACGAGCGAACAAAAGAUAUUGAGCUAGAUUGUCACUUCACUCGCACAAAGCUUGGUGAUGGUUUAGUGGUUCUCCACCAUGUUCCUACUUCUCGCAACUUGCCAAUAUAUUUACCAAACAUCUUACUAGAGUUGUUCAUCAUAAUCUCCUUCUCAAGUUGGGAGUGUUACCCCUCUCCAACUUGACUGGGGGUCUUGGCAUUACUUAUUUUGGACCCUAGUUAGUUGUGCUUCUUAUAUUUAUUUGCAUCCGGGCUGUGAACCUGAUAGACAGAGACCCAAUGUUUUGUAAUAGUUAUUAGGAAUGAUAUAAGGGAUCAGAUACUUUUGUAAAAAAAUGGUUAUUCAUUCUUUCAAUGAAAGAAGAAAA